GCAGUCUGGCUGACUCCUCCUCUUCGUGUCCAGUCGGCUGCCUAGUCAACUCUUUCGACUCUGUUGAGCAUCUGCCAUAUCCUGGCACUGCUGAGGUACAGCAGCUUCCUGUUACAAUUGAGCUCCAGCAAAACCCUCACUAUGUUGUGCUGCAGUGACAUCCUGCCCACUUAGUCACAGAGCUGCAACUACCUGUGGUUUCCCCUGAGCUGCUGCAACAAUCUUCUGUCUCUGCUGAGCUGCAGCAAAACUCUGUUGUUGUGUUACUGCAGUUUUCUGCAGCAUUCACCCACGGUUCCUCCUUAGCUGAAGUACCUGUCGCCGGCGGCCCUGUCACUGCUCCAUUCCAGAUGCCCCGUGGCCGGACUCUGGUCUCGCACUCCAUCUAUUAGACUCUGGGCCUGAAGGAAAAAAAAAAAGACUCUGGGCCUGGUCUUGGGUUACAUCGCCGACCUCCUGCCCAACCUCCAGAGGGGCACCGUCGUCGCCGGCAGCCUCCACAAGGUUUACAUUUUCGCCACCAACCCCCAGAUGGGCUCUGUCUUUGCUGUCAUUUUCCUGGUCACCCUUCAGUCCUCUCCAGCCCUUUAGUCUGGCCUUCUGGUCGUUCUCAGGCGACCUCAGGUCUCCAGCUCCAAUUCAAUCCUGUCUAUUGUUUUUGAGGAACGUCAGGUAUUCUGUCCUUCACAACGGGAACCACAUGCAGCAGGAAAAAAAGUCUCUGCACACCGUCACAGAGUCCCACGAGUCCUGCUUGUGACCAACAACGACUCGUCAGUUACAUCUUCAAAGACCUCGGCUCUCACACUGUCACCACGGAGUCGAUGGAAACACACCACAGUCUCCACACAUCUGGAGCUCAAAUCAAUUACUACAAAUCCAGCAGAGCUCCAAAAGCCAGAGACCUGAUAGAACUUUAGGAAUCCAGGCGAGGAAUGUGACAUUGCCAGGGAGUUCAUUUGGUUUCAGAGUUCAGCUGGAACUCAACCUGUGGUCUUUGAAGGUGACAGGGACCUAGUAGACUGGAACAAAACCAGUUCUCCGGCUUUUUCAUGCCGUUUCUGUCAUGCUGGUUCUCCCAUCUGCAGGCCCAUAGAGACUUAGCUGUCCCAGUCGAGCUAAAUCAGAGCCAGAAUGCGACUGUGAUCCCAUCAGCAGGCCCACUGGUAGCUAUCUAUGAAGUCCAGCUUGUCUUGUGGAGAACUGGCAGCUUCGGUGGAAUGUGUAGGAGAAUUUCACAGCAUGAGAUGUGAUUAAUAACUGGGAGUUGUGGAAGUGAAUUAUGCUGCCAAAGCUAUUUGAUAUUACAUACAGAGGACCUAUUUCUGAUUAUUAUAUGAUGCUCUCUGUUUUUUCCAGUAUACAAUCUGAAAGAGUGACAAUAGAUUUUAGCAGGUUGUCCCUUGUAAAAUGAGCAUAUGUUGGUAAAAUAUGUGUUAUUUACGAAAAGAGGCAGAGUUGAGAACAAUAUUUCUUUUGCUAAACAUCACGUUAAACAUCACGUGUCUCAGUCUUAGACCCAAAGCUGAAGAACCUGUAUGUCUCCCAGGUCGAAGCUUUCCAGCUUUGCUAAAUCCUCACUAAGCUGAAAUGAAAAUGUGGUUGCAAGGCUGCAUUAAAUCCCUGACCUAAAC
Molecule: long non-coding RNA, 1634 nt
Organism: Micropterus dolomieu (smallmouth bass)
Lineage: Eukaryota; Metazoa; Chordata; Actinopteri; Centrarchiformes; Centrarchidae
Exons: 2
Source: RefSeq, a predicted model, not a curated record